Molecule: ribosomal RNA, 419 nt
Filed under: uncultured bacterium
Lineage: Bacteria
Description: bacterial SSU rRNA
Rfam family: Bacterial small subunit ribosomal RNA
Source: RNAcentral
GGAAUAUUGGUCAAUGGCCGAGAGGCUGAACCAGCCAUGCCGCGUGCGGGAGGACGGCCCUAUGGGUUGUAAACCGCUUUUGUUGGGGAGCAAUAAGUGCCACGUGUGGCGCGAUGAGAGUACCCAGCGAAUAAGCAUCGGCUAACUCCGUGCCAGCAGCCGCGGUAAUACGGAGGAUCCGAGCGUUAUCCGGAUUUAUUGGGUUUAAAGGGAGCGCAGGCUGAUGAUUAAGCGUGACGUGAAAUGUAGCCGCUCAACGGCUGAACUGCGUCGCGAACUGGUUAUCUUGAGUGAGUUCGAUGUUGGCGGAAUUCGUGGUGUAGCGGUGAAAUGCUUAGAUAUCACGAAGAACUCCGAUUGCGAAGGCAGCCCACAAGGCCUUUACUGACGCUAAAGCUCGAAGGUGCGGGUAUCGAACA